Non-coding RNA from Triticum aestivum (bread wheat), 141 nucleotides. Lineage: Eukaryota; Viridiplantae; Streptophyta; Magnoliopsida; Poales; Poaceae. The record is from Rfam.
CUACUACUCCCUCCGUUCCAAAUUACUCAUCGCAGAAAUGGAUGUAUCUAGAACUAAAAUACAUUUAGAUUUUUCUCUAAAAAAAUACAUUUAGAUACUUCCAUUUCUGCGACGAGUAAUUCGGAAUGGAGGGAGUAUGUC